Molecule: ribosomal RNA, 250 nt
Filed under: uncultured bacterium
Lineage: Bacteria
Description: partial 16S ribosomal RNA
Rfam family: Bacterial small subunit ribosomal RNA
Source: RNAcentral
UGCAAGUCGAGCGCACCCUUCGGGGCGAGCGGCGGACGGGUUAGUAACGCGUGGGAACGUACCCUUGUCUACGGAAUAGCCUUUGGAAACGAAGAGUAAUACCGUAUACGCCCUUCGGGGGAAAGAUUUAUCGGACAAGGAUCGGCCCGCGUUAGAUUAGAUAGUUGGUGGGGUAAUGGCCUACCAAGUCUACGAUCUAUAGCUGGUUUUAGAGGAUGAUCAGCAACACUGGGACUGAGACACGGCCCAG